This 440-nucleotide ribosomal RNA is filed under the name uncultured bacterium. RNAcentral's name for it is "bacterial SSU rRNA". It matches the Rfam family "Bacterial small subunit ribosomal RNA", at positions 339 to 796 of the family's 1533-position model. The record is from RNAcentral.
CUACGGGAGGCAGCAGUCGGGAAUUUUGGGCAAUGGGCGAAAGCCUGACCCAGCAACGCCGCGUGAAGGAUGAAGUAUUUCGGUAUGUAAACUUCGAAAGAAUAGGAAGAAUAAAUGACGGUACUAUUUAUAAGCUCCGGCUAACUACGUGCCAGCAGCCGCGGUAAUACGUAGGGAGCAAGCGUUGUUCGGAUUUACUGGGCGUAAAGGGCGCGUAGGCGGCGCGGUAAGUCACUUGUGAAAUCUCUGAGCUUAACUCAGAACGGCCAAGUGAUACUGCAGUGCUAGAGUGCAGAAAGGGCAAUCGGAAUUCUUGGUGUAGCGGUGAAAUGCGUAGAUAUCAAGAGGAACACCUGAGGUGAAGACGGGUUGCUGGGCUGACACUGACGCUGAGGCGCGAAAGCCAGGGGAGCAAACGGGAUUAGAAACCCUGGUAGUCC